This is a long non-coding RNA of Scylla paramamosain (green mud crab), 1337 nucleotides long. RefSeq lists it as uncharacterized. Lineage: Eukaryota; Metazoa; Arthropoda; Malacostraca; Decapoda; Portunidae. The transcript has 2 exons. The record is from RefSeq and is a predicted model, not a curated record.
UUUCUACUUCUCACAAUAGUAUUGCUCAGAUAGUAUUGCCAUUUCUCGCGGUGUCAGUUUUCAUUGUAUUGAUCACGUAAAAUAAACGUGAACUUUUAACGUGCAAUAAAGGGAGUAAUGUAACCGAAGGCUGAGGGAAAGGAGUUCGAAGGUAGCGUAAUGUAAUAUUUAAUGUUGCCUUAUUAUAACGCUUUACAUGGAAAAAAAAGUUAAUGUUAACAUAUGGAUUAAAAGCUGAACAUAUGUAGUAAUUACAUUAGUGGUAUAAUUGUGUUCCCUAAAAUCAUCAGGCCAGUUUUAUAAUUCUGACCUGUUUUCAAAGAAGCUUAAGACACGAGGGCUAACCUUCCUUGCAUGUUUUCCAUAAAGACAUGAAUACUGAAUAGUGUGCACAAUGGAACAUGCAAACUUAUACCUAUACAGUUUUUUUUAAUUGGUAUGUUUCUGAAGUAAAAACAACCGAAAAAAAAUGAAUAAUAAAAAAAAAGCAAUGAAGUAAUUCGAAUACCAUAAAUAUCGUAAUGCAUUUAUAAUUUUUGAGGAAGACAUCGAUGGUGAAAUCUGAAAUAGCGGUUAGGAGCACGUGACGGCAAAGUGGUGGAUGACUCUAGUGAUUCUUUUCGAGAGAACUGCUGGUUUCACCACAAAAUUGAAUAUCACAGAACCAGUUACAGUGUACCAAAGACCUGGUAUAAGCGUGAGGUUCCAUGUAAUGGAGUGGGCGUGGUGAAUGAACAAGGCCAUGGUUACAGGCAUCCUAUAGGUUCACUAGUAAGGGGAACACAGUCUUUUGCCAUUGUGCUCAGCUAGCAGAAGAAGAUGCUGUCUCUCAGCUCUGUCAAGGACAUGCCACAAACCAGCAUUUCUCUCCUGGGGUACACCACCACACCCUACACUAUGCAUGUUGGGAUGAGUCACCUACCAGGUUAUAUGUAGUCAGUGUACAUGUUGAGUUGUGUUGUUUCUCUCUCUCUCUCUCUCUCUCUCUCUCUCUCUCUCUCUCUCUCUCUCUCUCUCUCUCUGAAAGUGAAAAAAUAGUUUAAUUUCUAACUUACUCCAAAGAACUCAAACGACUAUUUUGCAUAUGUAUAACGUUUCGUUUUUAAGUAAGCAAUAUAUCACAAUUGUUUUAUAAAAAUUCUUAAAAUUCAGUAUUGAAAAAAUUUUCACAGGUUCGGACCUGCAUUGCAAGUCCUGCCCCCCCCCACAAAAAAAAAAAAAAAAAGGAAAUUUUCAGAUAAAACUUUUUAUAUAAGGUUAGAGAUAAUUAAACUGAAAUGCAGAAGACGAAUAUUCAUAUAAAAUGUAUAUAUCAAUAAAAAGAAAAGUUUGUUUUA